UGUCCUCAGUGUGCCAGGUUCAAAUGCCUUUGUAGAAAGGAUUUUCUCUCUGAUGACCAUUAAAUGGUCAGACUCAGAUUCAAGAAACAGAUGCAACACAGAGCUUAUCAAAAAUGAACUUCAAAUAUCUGUCAACUGUGAAUUGGCUUGUAAGGACUUUUCUCUUGCUGCACUAAAGGACAAAAGCUUGAAUCGGCUAAGAGCAGCCAAAAAUAUUGACUUGAUGGCGCCAUGUAUCAUCAUAACACACCAUGGCAGGCUGCAGACUCCUGACAUCACCAACUAUGGCAGGCAUAUCCAUGGUAACACGGAUGAUUCCGAGCUUGGAAUUUGGCUCGAACCCAGAACACCCCCCCCAAACUGGGAAUGAAACCAGCCAAGAAUGAGGUGAUAGGAAGUGGAGGGAUGCUGCGAAACUUGUCGCAGGAUAGAGAGACGGUGGGUGACAGAUGGGUUCGGGACAUCCGGCCGAGAGUCGGGAUUUAAGGAAGCAGCUAAUCUAAAACCAAAACAGCAGUUGGCAGGUACCACCCCACCACCCCACCCAUGAGAAGCUGAGUGAUUAGAGGCGUCCAGAAUGGCCGAGAGCACCUGGAGAGGAUUAGAGACAAGAACACACACCUACAUAAAGCACUCUGUUCUCUAGGCCACUGCUUUGUUGGCACUUUUUGGGAUUAGCGGCGACUUCCCAUAACACACCUGAACAUCAGCGUGGGACUGAUGACCAUUCGCUUACAUAAAGGCUUACAGACAGGAAGAUAUGAUGACAUAAGUGGACUAAGCGUGUAUUAUCCUUCCUAUGUGUCAUAAAAAUGAAGUAACCCGAAGUCUGAAACAUGGUUAUUGCAUUAUGCAAUGAGUGGAGGAUCUGAUAAGACUAAGUGGUUUGAGAAAAAAAAAAAAUGUUAAUUAAUUUUAUGAAGCUUGCAUGAUGUUGAAUGUGGUAUAACAAAAAGAUUUAUCAGUCUGAUCAACAAUAUUUAUCAUUUAAAUAAAUUAAUUUAACAUCUACAAUGGCAACCCGCAUACAGCGUGUAAAAUAAGUAUUGCACACGUCACCAUUUUUUUGUAAAUAUAUUUUAAUAUUAAUUUAUGGACAUCUAUGGUU
Paramisgurnus dabryanus is the source of this 1108-nucleotide long non-coding RNA. RefSeq lists it as uncharacterized. Lineage: Eukaryota; Metazoa; Chordata; Actinopteri; Cypriniformes; Cobitidae. The record is from RefSeq and is a predicted model, not a curated record.